GUUAGUGAAAUAUAUCAAUUGAGUGUGCAAAUAGUGUAGUAAUUAGUAUUUCAUUUUAUCUCUACUCCAUUAGCUUAACGCAUAUCCGGUUUUCCAAUAACGGUUCGUUUUAGACUAAAAUUUUCCUCGGCUGCUUCCGCACUUAAAACAAUUUUUAAAACCAAUUUUCUUUUAAAUUGAUAGCGCCGACUCAAGUUUUUAAUUGGGAUCUAUU
Molecule: long non-coding RNA, 214 nt
Filed under: Lathyrus oleraceus (garden pea)
Lineage: Eukaryota; Viridiplantae; Streptophyta; Magnoliopsida; Fabales; Fabaceae
Description: Pisum sativum (pea) long non-coding RNA (PSAT_LNC026479)
Source: RNAcentral